CGGCCGCCGCUGCCGGCGGAGCCGACGCCUGCGCCGCCACUGUUUGGAAGAUUUUUAGGGUUUUAAAUUUAGAAUAUUAAGGGGAGUUUGUUGAAGUGAGUUAUGGAAUUUUUGGAUGAGUUUUGGAUAGGUUUAUGAAUUUCCGAAGUGUGGUAUUUUUGGCGGUUAAUUAAUGUAGAAUCCGGCCGUAGGAUUUAAGUCGUAUUUUUGGGGAGGUUGUAAUUACGGCUGCUGAGUAUGAUAUUUAAGUUCGGAUUGUUUCGAUUUAAGAAUAUCGAAGUUAGGCAAUGAUGAGCGUAGUUAUGGCUCUCGGUUAAUUUUGCCUAUUUUGUUUAAAUAUUGGAGUUUUAGUUGGGAAAUUAAUUUUAUAUUUGUGCCAGGGUUCGAGGAAACCUCUCUGGAGUGGCGAUUUGGAUUUCGUCGGGUUUAUGCCUAGAGUUGUGAGUGGACUUUUGUUUUAAAUAAUAUGUAUGCUAUGGUUCAUGAAUGAACAAUUAAUGUCGUGGAGCAUUUUGACGUCAUUUUAAUUUUUGACAAUCUUAUUUCUCUUGGAGAGUUACCGAAAAUGGGAUUUUCGGUGGAUAUAAAUAUGUAUUUAUGAGAGAGAGUAUGUAUAUAAAAUGCUAGCUAGCCAUAUGUGUCUGUCCACCUUAAUGGCGUAGCAUAUAGCCGCAUUAUGGUGUGACGUGAGCGUUGGACGCGAGCAUAGUAGCCAUAUAUGAGUGUUUAAUUCAUAUAGGGGGUAUGGGUACAUAUUUAUACACCCGUCUGUCCACCUUAAUGGCGUAGUGUAGCACCGCAUUAAGGCGUGACGUGAGUGUUGGACGCGAGCGUAGUAGCCCUAUAUAGACCCAUGAAUUUAUAUAGGGAGUAUGGACGUGUGUAAAUACAUACAUAUAUUAUAGAGCCUGAGAGGCUCGACAUUUAUGAGAUAAAAGUUUUAUCGCUUGCAGCAUGCAUUCGAUUUUUCUUGGAAAUUGAUUUGGGGAAACAUAAAUAUUUAUUCGUUAAUUUGUUUUUGUCCACU
Molecule: long non-coding RNA, 1027 nt
Filed under: Fragaria vesca (wild strawberry)
Lineage: Eukaryota; Viridiplantae; Streptophyta; Magnoliopsida; Rosales; Rosaceae
Description: long non-coding RNA (FVES_LNC004125)
Source: RNAcentral